Molecule: ribosomal RNA, 774 nt
Filed under: uncultured Neocallimastigales
Lineage: Eukaryota; Fungi; Neocallimastigomycota; Neocallimastigomycetes; Neocallimastigales
Description: partial large subunit ribosomal RNA
Rfam family: Eukaryotic large subunit ribosomal RNA
Source: RNAcentral
CGCAUCUGUGCAUGCAGCAUAUCAAUAAGCGGAGGAAAAGAAACUAACAAGGAUUCCCCUAGUAACGGCGAGUGAAGCGGGAAGAGCUCAAAUUUGAAAUCUUAAAGGGUUUCCCUUUACGAAUUGUAGUUUAAAGAAGUGUUUUCUGUUGAGGUUUUGGUAAAAGUUCUUUGGAAUAGGACAUCAUAGAGGGUGAGAAUCCCGUAUUUGACCUUUACUUCAACUUUGUGAUACACUUUCAAAGAGUCGGAUUGUUUGGGAAUGCAGUCCAAAAUGGGUGGUAAAUUUCAUCUAAAGCUAAAUAUUGGCGAGAGACCGAUAGCGAACAAGUACCGUGAGGGAAAGAUGAAAAGAACUUUGAAAAGAGAGUUAAACAGUACGUGAAAUUGUCAAAAGGGAAGCGUUUGACACCAGUGUUGUUUUUCUGAAAAUCAAUUAAAGAACUGUUUAUGCUAAGUCUGUUUAGACUUUAUCAGCUAUCUGUUUAGUUUUGAGCUUUUCUUUAAUGCACUUUUCAGUUAACAAGUCAACAUCAAUUUCUUUUGCUGUAAAAAAGCUUGAGGAAGGUGGCAUGAGAUUCGUCUUAAGUGUUUAUAGCCUCUUGCCUAUGCAGUCGGAGAGAUUGAGGUCUGCAGCGUAGAUCCUUCGGGGCUAAAUGCAUUUGUGCUAAGUUAUAGCAUUUUAUAGACAACUUGUUGACUAUGAUUUGUCUUGUAGCUUACUCGCUUAUGUUAUUUUACCUACGCUUAGGAUGUUGAAUCUGUGCGAGACUAC